This 497-nucleotide ribosomal RNA is filed under the name uncultured bacterium. RNAcentral describes it as "partial 16S ribosomal RNA". It matches the Rfam family "Bacterial small subunit ribosomal RNA", at positions 28 to 507 of the family's 1533-position model. The record is from RNAcentral.
GAUGAACGCUGGCGGCGUGCCUAAUACAUGCAAGUCGAGCGAACAGACGAGGAGCUUGCUCCUCUGACGUUAGCGGCGGACGGGUGAGUAACACGUGGAUAACCUACCUAUAAGACUGGGAUAACUUCAGGAGACCGGAGCUAAUACCGGAUAAUAUAUUGAACCGCAUGGUUCAAUAGUGAAAGACGGUUUUGCUGUCACUUAUAGAUGGAUCCGCGCCGCAUUAGCUAGUUGGUAAGGUAACGGCUUACCAAGGCAACGAUGCGUAGCCGACCUGAGAGGGUGAUCGGCCACACUGGAACUGAGACACGGUCCAGACUCCUACGGGAGGCAGCAGUAGGGAAUCUUCCGCAAUGGGCGAAAGCCUGACGGAGCAACGCCGCGUGAGUGAUGAAGGUCUUCGGAUCGUAAAACUCUGUUAUUAGGGAAGAACAAAUGUGUAAGUAACUAUGCACGUCUUGACGGUACCUAAUCAGAAAGCCACGGCUAACUACGUG